AGUGGCGAACGGGUGAGUAAUACAUCGGAACGUGCCCUGUAGUGGGGGAUAACUAGUCGAAAGAUUAGCUAAUACCGCAUACGACCUGAGGGUGAAAGUGGGGGACCGCAAGGCCUCAUGCUAUAGGAGCGGCCGAUGUCUGAUUAGCUAGUUGGUGGGGUAAAGGCCCACCAAGGCGACGAUCAGUAGCUGGUCUGAGAGGACGAUCAGCCACACUGGGACUGAGACACGGCCCAGACUCCUACGGGAGGCAGCAGUGGGGAAUUUUGGACAAUGGGCGAAAGCCUGAUCCAGCAAUGCCGCGUGUGUGAAGAAGGCCUUCGGGUUGUAAAGCACUUUUGUCCGGAAAGAAAUGGCUCUGGUUAAUACCUGGGGUCGAUGACGGUACCGGAAGAAUAAGGACCGGCUAACUACGUGCCAGCAGCCGCGGUAAUACGUAGGGUCCAAGCGUUAAUCGGAAUUACUGGGCGUAAAGCGUGCGCAGGCGGUUGUGCAAGACCGAUGUGAAAUCCCCGAGCUUAACUUGGGAAUUGCAUUGGUGACUGCACGGCUAGAGUGUGUCAGAGGGGGGUAGAAUUCCACGUGUAGCAGUGAAAUGCGUAGAGAUGUGGAGGAAUACCGAUGGCGAAGGCAGCCCCCUGGGAUAACACUGACGCUCAUGCACGAAAGCGUGGGGAGCAAACAGGAUUAGAUACCCUGGUAGUCCACGCCCUAAAACGAUGUCAACUAGUUGUUGGGGAUUCAUUUCCUUAGUAACGUAGCUAACGCGUGAAGUUGACCGCCUGGGGAGUACGGUCGCAAGAUUAAAACUCAAAGGAAUUGACGGGGACCCGCACAAGCGGUG
This 844-nucleotide ribosomal RNA is filed under the name Ralstonia sp. RNAcentral's name for it is "bacterial SSU rRNA". It matches the Rfam family "Bacterial small subunit ribosomal RNA", at positions 94 to 934 of the family's 1533-position model. The record is from RNAcentral. Lineage: Bacteria; Pseudomonadati; Pseudomonadota; Betaproteobacteria; Burkholderiales; Burkholderiaceae.